AUACGGAGGGUGCAAGCGUUACUGGGAAUCACUGGGCGUAAAGCGCGCGCAGGCGGUCUUUUAAGUUGGAUGUGAAAGCCUACGGCUCAACCGUAGAACUGCAUCCAAAACUAUUAGACUAGAGUGUGGGAGAGGAAGAUGGAAUUAGUUGUGUAGGGGUAAAAUCCGUAGAGAUAACUAGGAAUACCAAAAGCGAAGGCAAUCUUCUGGAACACUACUGACGCUGAGGCGCGAGAGCGUGGGGAGCAAACAGGAUUAGAAACCCUAGUAGUCC
RNAcentral lists this ribosomal RNA (274 nucleotides) under uncultured bacterium. RNAcentral describes it as "partial 16S ribosomal RNA". It matches the Rfam family "Bacterial small subunit ribosomal RNA", at positions 523 to 796 of the family's 1533-position model. The record is from RNAcentral.